RNAcentral lists this unclassified non-coding RNA (692 nucleotides) under Hevea brasiliensis (rubber tree). Lineage: Eukaryota; Viridiplantae; Streptophyta; Magnoliopsida; Malpighiales; Euphorbiaceae. The record is from RNAcentral.
ACUGUGACAAAUGUGAUUUCUUUAUUGAUGUUCGAUGCUCUGUCAUUACGGAAAACCUUAAACAUCAUGGACAUGAUCACCUCCUCCGCUUAGUCAAAGGCCAAAGAAGCUACGGUUCUUAUUGUAGUGCUUGUUAUUGUGGUAAGUUCACCUAUUUUGACUGCACUAAAUGUGACUUCUCGUUGGACUUUAGAUGUGCUAGUUUGCCAAGUUCGGUUAGUCACAGAUUUGAUGAGAAUCAUCCUCUUACACUGGACUACAAUUUUGUUAGUGGCAAAGACAUAGAGCAUUACUGUGCGAUUUGCGAGUGGAUAAUAGACCCGGGUUCCCAUAUCUUUGAUUGUGUACCCUGGUUCUAUGGGUGCAGGGAAUGCGAUAUUUCAAUUCAUCCUGAAUGUGUUCUUGGAAGGUACCCAUACAUCAAGUUUGGGGGUGCUUACUUGUAUGACAUUCACCCACAUCCGCUUACUUUAGUCCAAAAACCUUUCGUGAAAGUUCAAAGGAAAAAGCACUACCCUCCAUGUGAUUAUUGUGCUGAGCCCUUUUCUGUUGGUGAAAACAUUGGUGACCCCUGCCAGGACUUGGCUCUUCAGUGCAGCCAGUGUCCUUUCGUCAUCCAUAGGAAAAGUCCUUGUUUUACCCAAAAUGUACAAGAGAAAACUGCUAAUGCAUGAUUAUUUCUUCCUUUGUAC